Molecule: ribosomal RNA, 484 nt
Filed under: uncultured bacterium
Lineage: Bacteria
Description: partial 16S ribosomal RNA
Rfam family: Bacterial small subunit ribosomal RNA
Source: RNAcentral
AUUGAACGCUGGCGGCAGGCCUAACACAUGCAAGUCGAGCGGAUGACGGGAGCUUGCUCCUUGAUUCAGCGGCGGACGGGUGAGUAAUGCCUAGGAAUCUGCCUGGUAGUGGGGGACAACGUUUCGAAAGGAACGCUAAUACCGCAUACGUCCUACGGGAGAAAGCAGGGGACCUUCGGGCCUUGCGCUAUCAGAUGAGCCUAGGUCGGAUUAGCUUGUUGGUGAGGUAAUGGCUCACCAAGGCGACGAUCCGUAACUGGUCUGAGAGGAUGAUCAGUCACACUGGAACUGAGACACGGUCCAGACUCCUACGGGAGGCAGCAGUGGGGAAUAUUGGACAAUGGGCGAAAGCCUGAUCCAGCCAUGCCGCGUGUGUGAAGAAGGUCUUCGGAUUGUAAAGCACUUUAAGUUGGGAGGAAGGGUUGUAGAUUAAUACUCUGCAAUUUUAACGUUACCGACAGAAUAAGCACCGGCUAACUCUGUG